Molecule: ribosomal RNA, 390 nt
Filed under: Timon princeps (Zagrosian lizard)
Lineage: Eukaryota; Metazoa; Chordata; Lepidosauria; Squamata; Lacertidae
Description: partial 16S ribosomal RNA
Rfam family: Archaeal large subunit ribosomal RNA
Source: RNAcentral
ACUGGAAUGAAUGGCCAAAUGAGGACUAAACUGUCUCUUACGGAUUAGCCAAUGAAAUUGAUAACCCAGUACAAAAGCUGGGAUAGACCCAUAAGACGAGAAGACCCUGUGGAGCUUUAAAACCAAGUCCACCAAACAUGGUUCCCCGGUUUUUAGUUGGGGCGACUUCGGAGCAAAAUAAAACCUCCAAACAUAAAACCACUUUAUUAAGGUAAACAUACCGAAACAACAACAUAGACCCAGCAAUUUAACUCAUUUAAAUUGCCUGAUCAAUGAACCAAGUUACCCCAGGGAUAACAGCGCUAUCCCCUUCUAGAGUCCCUAUCGACAAGGGGGUUUACGACCUCGAUGUUGGAUCAGGACACCCCAAUGGUGCAGCCGCCAUUAAAG